This 3774-nucleotide ribosomal RNA is filed under the name Triticum aestivum (bread wheat). RNAcentral describes it as "partial small subunit ribosomal RNA". Lineage: Eukaryota; Viridiplantae; Streptophyta; Magnoliopsida; Poales; Poaceae. The record is from RNAcentral.
AUGCGGGCCUUUGCUAGCUGCGCCAGCAUGCACGACUCGGAGCUGUACCGGGCCGGCCUGUUGAGCCAGCUCGCCUUCUCGUGGCUGAACCCUCUGCUCCGCCUGGGCCGCUCAAAAGCACUGGAGCUCGCCGACGUCCCGCUCAUCGCCUCCGAGGACUGCGCGCGGCGAGCCUCUCGUAGGUUCUCCGAGGCGUGGAGCCGCCACCGGCAGGAGGAGGCAGAGAGCAGGAGGCCCAACAGCCUCGCCCUCGUCUUGUGCAGGUGCUUCCUCCGAGAGAUCAUGAUCGCCGGCUUGUACGCCUUCAUGAGAACGCUCGCCAUAGCCGCCUCCCCUCUAUUGCUCUUUGCGUUCGUACGCUACAGCUACCAAGAAGAGAGGGAUCACCGCGUCGGCCUGUCGCUCGUCGGCUGCCUGCUCGCCAUCAAGCUCGUCGAGUCCUUGUCCCAGCGGCAUUGGUUCUUCGACUCCAGGAGGACCGGGAUGCGCAUCCGGUCUGCCCUAGUGGCGGUCAUCUUUCAAAAGCAGCUCAAGCUGUCCAGCCAGGGGAGGAGGAACCAUUCUACCGGGGAGAUCGUCAACUACAUCGCCGUGGACGCUUACCGGCUGGGCGACGCUCUCGGCUGGUUUCACGAGGCGUGGAGCUCGCCGCUCCAGCUGGCCUUGGCAGUCGCCACGCUCUUCUGGGCACUCAGGCUUGGGGCACUCCCGGGUCUAGUCCCGCUCAUCAUCUUCGGCUUCCUCAACGUGCCCUUCGCAAGGCUUCUUCAAGGGUACCAGGCCAAGUUCAUGGUUGCACAGGAUGACAGGCUCCGGUCCACCUCCGAGGUGCUCAACAGCAUGAAGAUCAUCAAGCUGCAGUCAUUGGAGGACAAGUUCCGUACCAUGGUCGAGUCCCUCCGAGACGCCGAGUUCACAUGGUUGAGGGAGACCCAGAUAAAGAAAGCCUACGGCGCGGUCAUGUACUGGAUGUCCCCCACGGUUGUCUCUGCGGUCAUGUACACCGCGACGGCCAUUCUGGGGAGUGCCCCCCUGAAUGCCACUACACUCUUCACCGUCUUGGCCACCCUCAGGGUCAUGGCUGAGCCAGUGAAGUUUCUUCCUGAGAUCCUGACAAUGAUGAUCCAGUACAAGGUGUCGCUGGACCGUAUCGAAAAAUUUCUCAUAGAAGAUGAGAUCAAAGAGGGCGCGGAGAAGGGGCCUCCACAUAACUCUCAUGUCAAGGUUCAUGUCCAAGAUGCAAAUUUCAGCUGGAAUGCAAGUGCAGCCGAUCUGACGCUAAGGAAUAUUGACCUUAGCAUAAACCAAGGAGAGAAGGUGGCUGUCUGUGGUGCAGUUGGCUCAGGAAAAUCUUCGCUCCUUUAUGCAUUACUCCGGGAGAUACCGAGAACAUCAGGAUCAGUUGAGGUAUUUGGUUCACUGGCAUAUGUUUCACAAAACUCAUGGAUACAGAGUGGUACCGUCCGCGAUAAUAUACUCUUCGGAAAGCCUUAUGACAAGGCACUGUAUGAGAAGGCAAUCAGAUUCUGUGCUUUGGACAAGGAUAUAGAAAGUUCCAAUCAUGGAGACCUUACCGAGAUUGGUCAGAGAGGGCUCAACUUGAGUGGAGGUCAGAAGCAAAGGAUCCAGCUAGCUAGAGCUGUCUAUAAUGACGCAGACAUCUACCUCCUAGACGACCCUUUCAGCGCGGUGGAUGCGCACACUGCUGCAAUUCUUUUCUAUGAUUGUGUAAUGGCAGCACUUUCAUGCAAGACCGUUGUUCUUGUGACGCACCAAGUUGAAUUUCUGACGGAGACUAACAGGAUUUUGGUAAUGGAAGGCGGUCAAGUUAAACAACAAGGGAAAUAUGCGGAUCUUCUGGAAUCCGGGACGGCAUUUGAGAAGCUAGUUUCGGCUCACCAGUCCUCAGUCACUGCACUUGACAUCGCCAGCCAACAAAAUCGAGUCCAAGGGCAACAGGUUCUUGAUGACAUUACUAUGCCAGGUGCAUUGGUGGCAACACGGCAGACUAGCGAAAUCGAAGUCUCAACCAAGGAUCCUUCAGUGGCCCAGCUCACUGAAGUGGAAGAAAGGGGGAUCGGCAACCUUGGAUGGAAGCCAUACAAAGACUACAUACAAGUCUCAAAGGGCAUUUUGCCACUCUGUGGGAUGGCUGCAACUCAAGUCCUUUUUACAGGCUUUCAAAUCAUGUCGACAUACUGGCUGGCCGUGGCUGUUCAGCUCAAUGUCAGUAGUGCUCUUCUGGUUGGGGCAUACUCCGGGCUCUCCAUCUUCACAUUCUUUACGGGUCUAAUGGAUUCUGUAUUCAAGGCCCCCAUGUCAUUCUUCAACUCAACGCCCAUUGGAAGGAUACUCACAAGGGCUUCGUCAGAUUUAAGCGUUCUGGACUUUGACAUACCUUACUCCAUGGCUUUUGUGGUGACUGGCAGUGUGGAGGUGGUCACGACGGUGAUAGUCAUGGGUACUGUAACUUGGCAGGUCUUAGUUGUAGCAAUCCCAGUUACACUCACCAUGGUAUAUGUUCAAAGGUACUACAUGGAGUCAGCUAGAGAGCUAGUCAGAAUUAAUGGAACAACAAAGGCACCUGUCAUGAACUAUGCAUCAGAAUCGAUUCUUGGCGUGGUGACAAUCAGGGCUUUCAGCGCAACAGACUCGUUCAUAUACAAUAACCUGCAACUAAUAGACAAUGACGCGACAAUGUUCUUCCACACAAUUGCUGCGCAAGAGUGGGUUCUUAUAAGAGUGGAAGCACUGCAAAGCUUGACGAUACUCACAUUUUCAUUGUUCCUUGUAUUGGUUCCUCCAGGAGUAAUUUCACCAGGCUUUGCGGGUCUUUGUCUCUCCUAUGCUUUGACCCUGACUGGGGCACAGGUUUUCUUGACAAGGUUCUACUCCUACCUAGAAAACUAUAUCAUUUCAGUUGAGAGAAUCAAGCAGUAUAUGCACCUUCCAUCGGAGCCUCCUGCCGUAAUACCUGAUAACAGGCCUCCAAUUUCAUGGCCACAGGAGGGAAGAAUAGACAUGCAAGAUUUGAAGAUUAAAUACCGCCCAAACACGCCACUUGUUCUCAAAGGAAUCACUUGCACCUUCCCUGCUGGAAACAGAAUUGGGGUUGUAGGGAGGACGGGAAGCGGGAAAUCAACACUUAUCAGCUCACUGUUCCGUCUCAUUGAUCCUGUUGGUGGGAGGAUACUUAUUGACAACUUGGAUAUUUGCUCUAUGGGUCUCAAGGAUCUAAGAACUAAACUGAGUAUUAUCCCCCAAGAACCUACACUUUUCACAGGAACUGUGCGCAAUAACUUGGACCCCCUUGGUCUGCAUUCCGACGAUGAGAUAUGGGAGGCCUUGGAGAAGUGUCAACUGAAGAAAUCAAUUAGCAGCACUGCUGCUCUUCUCGAUACAGUAGUGAGUAAUGAUGGCGAUAACUGGAGUGUUGGACAGCGCCAACUCUUCUGUCUUGGCAGAGUUCUCCUCCGUAGGAACAAAAUUCUCAUGCUAGAUGAAGCAACGGCGUCCAUCGACUCCGCAACUGAUGCAAUCCUACAGGGUGUCAUCAGGAAGCAAUUCAUAAGUUGCACAGUGAUAACCAUUGCUCACAGGGUCGCAACUGUGACAGACAGUGACAGGGUCAUGGUACUUUCCUACGUGCUGACGACUUGUACGGGUAAGCUUCUAGAAUAUGACACACCCAUCAAGCUGCUGGAAGACAAACAAUCUGCCUUUGCUAAACUUGUGGCGGAGUAUUGGGCUAAUUGCAAUCGGAACUCAACCUGA